GUGCUCACUUCAACAGCACAUAUACUUAAAUUGGAACAAUAUAGAGAAGAUUAGCAUGAUCCCUUUGCAAGGAUGACACAUAAAUUUGUGAAGCGUUCCAUAUUUUA
Small nuclear RNA from Suncus etruscus (white-toothed pygmy shrew), 107 nucleotides. The record is from RefSeq and is a predicted model, not a curated record. Lineage: Eukaryota; Metazoa; Chordata; Mammalia; Eulipotyphla; Soricidae.